Strongylocentrotus purpuratus (purple sea urchin) is the source of this 2458-nucleotide long non-coding RNA. RefSeq lists it as uncharacterized. The transcript is spliced from 3 exons. NCBI's taxonomy places the organism in Eukaryota, Metazoa, Echinodermata, Echinoidea, Camarodonta, Strongylocentrotidae. The record is from RefSeq and is a predicted model, not a curated record.
AUAUGCCCCACGUUUAAUACGUAUACAUCAUCAUGUGUGUAAAUGUGAUCGGUGUAUGUGAUAUAUUCAUGGGGGUUUCACAUCUACAGUACAUCAAAAGGCAUAAAUGUACUAGUUCUAUGCUGGAAUUACCUCACAAAGAAAACGCUCCAUCUUACGCUCUGUCAUCGAAGUAUAGAUCAGGAGGACAGCUGGUUUCGCUUUAACAUCUUUUAACAAGCAUUACAUCUGCUGACAGGAUAGAAAUUGGUACUUCAUCAGACUUAUCAUUAAUGGAUUUUGAAGAUAGUUGAGCCAAAGCAUUGUUUUUCCAAAAAGAGCCACAUCCUCGCCACAUAAAAAAAAACGCUUCUUCAUUUUCCAUCUGACGAACUCGAAUAAUACGAAUAAUGAACCUUUGGUCACAGAAUGAUGCCCAACAAUGAGAAAUUAGAAGGAAGGUUUAUAUCCAGAGGUAUAUGAGCUUGACGUGAUCAGCUAUCAACAUGCCGCUUUUUAACAGGACACUGUGGCUACGACGAAGAAAGAUGGACUACACAUGGGUGUUGGUUAGUAUGGCAACAUUCUGGUUGUUGUGUUCUAUCUCUUCAAUCAUGUUCAGGACGUUUGCCGGAAGCUCUCCACCUAUAAGAACUGGCCAUUUGGUUGAUUGGGAUGGACGCGUCUACGUGAAAUCGAAGAACAAAACCGAUUUCGCAAGAAAAGGUUUCUAUCACUAUCCCUUCCCGAGGAGUGACAUGUGUUUCUUUUCACGUUUUUUGGAAGCAGAAGGAAUGCCUAAACUUCAUUCAGCGUUCGCUGAUCCCGUAUCUCACAACGUCGUCUUUAUCGGCACGCGCUUUCUCGCAGACAACUGGACGCGCGAAACAUUCGUCGCCCAUUUUGAAAAUGGUCAGCGAAGAUUGUGUGAUCCUAUCGUGGAAGAUUUUUUUAGUUUUGGAUACAUCUCACAGUUCAAUAUCGUUCUCACUUGCCCGCUUCCACAGUUUCUACACAAGCGUCUUAAUUUUUCGCUGAACCUGCAGCGUAUUUCGAAUGUCAAGAAGUAUCGCAGAUACGCCUAUGACAACCUGACAAUUUGUCAAUCUGGAGCAUCGAAAUUUCAACGGUAUCUCCUAUCAGCGUGCACCAUGGUGAGAAACAUGGAUCACUACCUACCAGAAUGGAUUGCUUUCCAUAGGUAUGUGGGUGUGCAACACUUCUUCCUCUAUGAUAACGAGCCAGAGGAAACGAGUAAACUCCGGAAGACUGUUCGUCGGGAGAUCGCGGAGGGCGUCGUAACAGUCAUACCAUGGACACACAUUGCCCUUGGACAGAAGACGUAUUUGGAAGUGCAGAUUGCUCAUGAAAACGACUGCCUAUGGAGAAACAGGUACCGAACAAAAUGGAUGAUUAAAAUAGACGUGGAUGAGUUUGUGCAACCAAUGAAUGCUAGCAAGCGAAAAAUUACAGAUUAUUUGGAAGGUCCAUAUUUUGAGACGAUGGGGGCUGCUAGAUUGCAGAACUGGUUUUUCGGUCGCCAUGAUUUCGAUAAGUCAGCGGGGGCUACCAAUAAUUCGAUCAUAGAAAGAAAUACGUGGAGACCAAGCUAUCCUUCACCGCAGAACUGUGGCCGGGACAAAAAUAUUAUUCAACCAAAGUAUGUCCAUUAUUUCAAAAUUCACGCCAUCAAAGUUGGCGGAGAAGCGGUAUCUUUGAAUCCACACGACGAGUUACGGUUAGUUCACUACAGACAAGACAAUUCACGUGUCAGACAUUUUGAUCUUCCGCCUUUCACGACUCAGGAUGUUAGCAUGGUUGAACUUAUAGUAAAAGCACGAAAGGUCUUUGGAAAUCAAACUAAAGGUUAAUUUUAUGGAAAAUACAAUGGGGAGAAAACUUUUAAAUAUCCCCUUUAUUGAAGAUCAUCAUUCAAUUAUUAUCAAUAUUGUUAUCGUUAAUAUUAUUAUAAUACUUAUUACUUGUAUUAGUGUUAUAAUUAUCAUCAUCAUCAUGACCAUUAAUGUAUUGCUUUGUCAAUUAGAAGCUGACUGAAAGCAGUUGAGUGUGAGUCUAGCCUUGAAAUGAUGAGCCCAUAAUCUAAGUACGUACAUGUACAUUUUAAGAACUGAAGUGUUAAAUCACCAUUUAGAAGGGCCGAGGAGUGACCACCCUUUCAAAAUGUCAGACUGAUGCUUCUAACUAGAUUCAACCUUUACAAUAUUGGAUCCAUCAUGUUCAAAGUGUUAUUCUACCAUUUUGAAAAAUUGGUCACUCCUCGGCCUUUUUAAAUGGUGAUUUAACAUUUCAGUACUCCAAUUCUCAGGACCAAAUUUGAAUGUCACCUGUGCGUAUACUUCCAAUGCCCAUAUUUGUGUAUGGUGAUUGUAGGCGAUUUUCAGCAGAGAUUAACUGGUUUGUUGUCAGCUUGUCUAUUAAAAAAAAUAAUACACAAUCAUUCUCAUAAACUACACAAUAA